UACGUAGGGAGCGAGCGUUGUCCGGAAUCAUUGGGCGUAAAGAGCAUGUAGGUGGAUCAAUUAGUCUGCUGUGAAAGUCAAAGGCUCAACCUUUGAAAGCCGGUGGAUACUGUUGGUCUAGAGUACGGAAGAGGCGAGUGGAAUUCCUGGUGUAGCGGUGGAAUGCGCAGAUAUCAGGAGGAACACCAAUAGCGAAGGCAGCUCGCUGGGACGUUACUGACACUGAGGCGCGAAAGCGUGGGGAGCGAACAGG
Molecule: ribosomal RNA, 253 nt
Filed under: uncultured bacterium
Lineage: Bacteria
Description: partial 16S ribosomal RNA
Rfam family: Bacterial small subunit ribosomal RNA
Source: RNAcentral